This 301-nucleotide ribosomal RNA is filed under the name uncultured bacterium. RNAcentral's name for it is "partial 16S ribosomal RNA". It matches the Rfam family "Bacterial small subunit ribosomal RNA", at positions 509 to 807 of the family's 1533-position model. The record is from RNAcentral.
CAGCCGCCACGGUAAUACGUAGGGUGCGAGCGUUGUCCGGAAUUACUGGGCGUAAAGAGUUCGUAGGCGGUUUGUCGCGUCGUUCGUGAAAACUUGGGGCUUAACUCCAAGCGUGCGGGCGAUACGGACAGACUUGAGUACUACAGGGGAGACUGGAAUUCCUGGUGUAGCGGUGAAAUGCGUAGAGAUCGGGAGGAACACCAGUGGCGAAGGCGGCCAUCUGGGACAACACUGACGCUGAGGCACGAAAGCGUGGGGAGCAAACAGGAUUAGAUACCCCUGUAGUCCCUGUCUCUUAUAC